This 254-nucleotide ribosomal RNA is filed under the name uncultured bacterium. RNAcentral describes it as "partial 16S ribosomal RNA". It matches the Rfam family "Bacterial small subunit ribosomal RNA", at positions 524 to 776 of the family's 1533-position model. The record is from RNAcentral.
UACGGGGGGGGCAAGCGUUGUUCGGAAUUACUGGGCGUAAAGGGCUCGUAGGCGGCCAACUAAGUCAUACGUGAAAUCCCCCGGCUUAACCGGGGAACUGCGUCUGAUACUGGAUGGCUUGAGUUCGGGAGAGGGAUGCGGAAUUCCAGGUGUAGCGGUGAAAUGCGUAGAUAUCUGGAGGAACACCGGUGGCGAAGGCGGCAUCCUGGACCAACACUGACGCUGAGUGGGCGAAAGCCAGGGGAGCAAACGGG